CCGACGAUAGCUCAGUUGGUAGAGCGGAGGACUGUAGUUGGUUAGACUUGUAGUAAUCCUUAGGUCGAUGGUUCAAAUCCGUCUCGUCGGA
This is a transfer RNA of Lottia gigantea (owl limpet), 91 nucleotides long. It matches the Rfam family "tRNA". Rfam says of the family: Transfer RNA (tRNA) molecules are approximately 80 nucleotides in length. Lineage: Eukaryota; Metazoa; Mollusca; Gastropoda; Lottiidae. The record is from Rfam.